RNAcentral lists this transfer RNA (69 nucleotides) under Pteropus alecto (black flying fox). It matches the Rfam family "tRNA". From Rfam's summary of the family: Transfer RNA (tRNA) molecules are approximately 80 nucleotides in length. Their secondary structure includes four short double-helical elements and three loops (D, anti-codon, and T loops). Lineage: Eukaryota; Metazoa; Chordata; Mammalia; Chiroptera; Pteropodidae. The record is from Rfam by way of RNAcentral.
UGUUCCAUAGUGUAACAGCACGUCUGCUUUACACGCAGAAGGUCCUGGGUUUGUACCCCAGUACAGCCA